AGCGUACACGGUGGAUGCCCUGGCAGUCAGAGGCGAUGAAGGACGUGCUAAUCUGCGAUAAGCGUCGGUAAGGUGAUAUGAACCGUUAUAACCGGCGAUUUCCGAAUGGGGAAACCCAGUGUGUUUCGACACACUAUCAUUAACUGAAUCCAUAGGUUAAUGAGGCGAACCGGGGGAACUGAAACAUCUAAGUACCCCGAGGAAAAGAAAUCAACCGAGAUUCCCCCAGUAGCGGCGAGCGAACGGGGAGGAGCCCAGAGCCUGAAUCAGUGUGUGUGUUAGUGGAAGCGUCUGGAAAGGCGCGCGAUACAGGGUGACAGCCCCGUACACAAAAAUGCACAUACUGUGAGCUCGAUGAGUAGGGCGGGACACGUGGUAUCCUGUCUGAAUAUGGGGGGACCAUCCUCCAAGGCUAAAUACUCCUGACUGACCGAUAGUGAACCAGUACCGUGAGGGAAAGGCGAAAAGAACCCCGGCGAGGGGAGUGAAAAAGAACCUGAAACCGUGUACGUACAAGCAGUGGGAGCACGCUUCGGCGUGUGACUGCGUACCUUUUGUAUAAUGGGUCAGCGACUUAUAUUCUGUAGCAAGGUUAACCGAAUAGGGGAGCCGAAGGGAAACCGAGUCUUAACUGGGCGUUAAGUUGCAGGGUAUAGACCCGAAACCCGGUGAUCUAGCCAUGGGCAGGUUGAAGGUUGGGUAACACUAACUGGAGGACCGAACCGACUAAUGUUGAAAAAUUAGCGGAUGACUUGUGGCUGGGGGUGAAAGGCCAAUCAAACCGGGAGAUAGCUGGUUCUCCCCGAAAGCUAUUUAGGUAGCGCCUCGUGAAUUCAUCUCCGGGGGUAGAGCACUGUUUCGGCAAGGGGGUCAUCCCGACUUACCAACCCGAUGCAAACUGCGAAUACCGGAGAAUGUUAUCACGGGAGACACACGGCGGGUGCUAACGUCCGUCGUGAAGAGGGAAACAACCCAGACCGCCAGCUAAGGUCCCAAAGUCAUGGUUAAGUGGGAAACGAUGUGGGAAGGCCCAGACAGCCAGGAUGUUGGCUUAGAAGCAGCCAUCAUUUAAAGAAAGCGUAAUAGCUCACUGGUCGAGUCGGCCUGCGCGGAAGAUGUAACGGGGCUAAACCAUGCACCGAAGCUGCGGCAGCGACACUAUGUGUUGUUGGGUAGGGGAGCGUUCUGUAAGCCUGUGAAGGUGUACUGUGAGGUAUGCUGGAGGUAUCAGAAGUGCGAAUGCUGACAUAAGUAACGAUAAAGCGGGUGAAAAGCCCGCUCGCCGGAAGACCAAGGGUUCCUGUCCAACGUUAAUCGGGGCAGGGUGAGUCGACCCCUAAGGCGAGGCCGAAAGGCGUAGUCGAUGGGAAACAGGUUAAUAUUCCUGUACUUGGUGUUACUGCGAAGGGGGGACGGAGAAGGCUAUGUUGGCCGGGCGACGGUUGUCCCGGUUUAAGCGUGUAGGCUGGUUUUCCAGGCAAAUCCGGAAAAUCAAGGCUGAGGCGUGAUGACGAGGCACUACGGUGCUGAAGCAACAAAUGCCCUGCUUCCAGGAAAAGCCUCUAAGCAUCAGGUAACAUUAAAUCGUACCCCAAACCGACACAGGUGGUCAGGUAGAGAAUACCAAGGCGCUUGAGAGAACUCGGGUGAAGGAACUAGGCAAAAUGGUGCCGUAACUUCGGGAGAAGGCACGCUGAUAUGUAGGUGAAGUCCCUCGCGGAUGGAGCUGAAAUCAGUCGAAGAUACCAGCUGGCUGCAACUGUUUAUUAAAAACACAGCACUGUGCAAACACGAAAGUGGACGUAUACGGUGUGACGCCUGCCCGGUGCCGGAAGGUUAAUUGAUGGGGUUAGCGGUAACGCGAAGCUCUUGAUCGAAGCCCCGGUAAACGGCGGCCGUAACUAUAACGGUCCUAAGGUAGCGAAAUUCCUUGUCGGGUAAGUUCCGACCUGCACGAAUGGCGUAAUGAUGGCCAGGCUGUCUCCACCCGAGACUCAGUGAAAUUGAACUCGCUGUGAAGAUGCAGUGUACCCGCGGCAAGACGGAAAGACCCCGUGAACCUUUACUAUAGCUUGACACUGAACAUUGAGCCUUGAUGUGUAGGAUAGGUGGGAGGCUUUGAAGUGUGGACGCCAGUCUGCAUGGAGCCGACCUUGAAAUACCACCCUUUAAUGUUUGAUGUUCUAACGUUGACCCGUAAUCCGGGUUGCGGACAGUGUCUGGUGGGUAGUUUGACUGGGGCGGUCUCCUCCUAAAGAGUAACGGAGGAGCACGAAGGUUGGCUAAUCCUGGUCGGACAUCAGGAGGUUAGUGCAAUGGCAUAAGCCAGCUUGACUGCGAGCGUGACGGCGCGAGCAGGUGCGAAAGCAGGUCAUAGUGAUCCGGUGGUUCUGAAUGGAAGGGCCAUCGCUCAACGGAUAAAAGGUACUCCGGGGAUAACAGGCUGAUACCGCCCAAGAGUUCAUAUCGACGGCGGUGUUUGGCACCUCGAUGUCGGCUCAUCACAUCCUGGGGCUGAAGUAGGUCCCAAGGGUAUGGCUGUUCGCCAUUUAAAGUGGUACGCGAGCUGGGUUUAGAACGUCGUGAGACAGUUCGGUCCCUAUCUGCCGUGGGCGCUGGAGAACUGAGGGGGGCUGCUCCUAGUACGAGAGGACCGGAGUGGACGCAUCACUGGUGUUCGGGUUGUCAUGCCAAUGGCACUGCCCGGUAGCUAAAUGCGGAAGAGAUAAGUGCUGAAAGCAUCUAAGCACGAAACUUGCCCCGAGAUGAGUUCU
Molecule: ribosomal RNA, 2774 nt
Filed under: Escherichia coli
Lineage: Bacteria; Pseudomonadati; Pseudomonadota; Gammaproteobacteria; Enterobacterales; Enterobacteriaceae
Description: bacterial LSU rRNA
Rfam family: Bacterial large subunit ribosomal RNA
Source: RNAcentral